UACGGAGGAUGCGAGCGUUAUCCGGAUUUAUUGGGUUUAAAGGGUGCGUAGGCGGAUCGUUAAGUCAGUGGUCAAAUUGAGGGGCUCAACCCCUUCCCGCCAUUGAAACUGGCGCCCUUGAGUGGAAGAGAAGUAUGCGGAAUGCGUGGUGUAGCGGUGAAAUGCAUAGAUAUCACGCAGAACCCCGAUUGCGAAGGCAGCAUGCCGGCUUCCGACUGACGCUGAAGCACGAAAGCGUGGGGAUCGAACAGG
This 252-nucleotide ribosomal RNA is filed under the name uncultured bacterium. Its description in RNAcentral is "partial 16S ribosomal RNA". It matches the Rfam family "Bacterial small subunit ribosomal RNA", at positions 524 to 776 of the family's 1533-position model. The record is from RNAcentral.